This 29-nucleotide small RNA is filed under the name Bombyx mori (domestic silkworm). Its description in RNAcentral is "ovarian small RNA-4532". Lineage: Eukaryota; Metazoa; Arthropoda; Insecta; Lepidoptera; Bombycidae. The record is from RNAcentral.
AGCCAGCCUAGCCGAAUCCGGCAAGGAUA